GGAAUUAAGAUGACCUGGCUGCAAUAUCUAGCCCUUGGUGGUCAGGGCUGAUUUGGGUGACCUUUGGUCUAAGUAGGCAUCACUUUUUUUCUUCACCAUUACAUGUACAUCCUUUCUGAAGCUGUUGUGGACUAGUGGGAGGGAAUAAAUCCCUCAUAUAGGUGGAACCUUUUAAAGUCAUAAAAACCUGGAGUAGCUGCCUUCUCCUGCUAGAGCCUCCAAACAAGCUCUUGAGACGAUAGUAAGGGCCAGGGAGAUGGGUUCAGGAGUAAGAACAUUUUCUGAGUUAGUGUGAAGACAUAUGAGUUUCG
This 311-nucleotide small nuclear RNA is filed under the name Neotoma lepida (desert woodrat). RNAcentral describes it as "7SK RNA". It matches the Rfam family "7SK RNA". From Rfam's summary of the family: 7SK was discovered as an abundant small nuclear RNA in the mid-70s but a possible function has only recently been suggested. Two independent studies have found that 7SK RNA binds the CDK9/cyclin T complex (known as elongation factor P-TEFb). Lineage: Eukaryota; Metazoa; Chordata; Mammalia; Rodentia; Cricetidae. The record is from Rfam by way of RNAcentral.